UGAGGAAUAUUGGGCAAUGCCCGCAAGGGUGACCCAGCAACGCCGCGUGGAGGAUGAAUGUCGUAAGAUUGUAAACUCCUGUUAGAGGGGAAGAAUAGUACCGGUUGGACCGGUAUAUGACUGUACCCUCAGAGAAAGCCCCGGCUAACUACGUGCCAGCAGCCGCGGUAAUACGUAGGGGGCAAGCGUUGUCCGGAUUUACUGGGUGUAAAGGGCGCGCAGGCGGGAUAAAAAGUCAGUGGUGAAAUCCUACAGCUUAACUGUAGAACUGCCUUUGAUACUUUUAUUCUUGAGUUCGGGAGAGAGAGACGGAAUUCCAGGUGUAGUGGUGAAAUACGUAGAUAUCAGGAGGAACACCGGUGGCGAAGGCGGCCUUCUGGACGGCUACUGACGCUGAGACGCGAAAGCGUGGGGAGCAAACA
Molecule: ribosomal RNA, 422 nt
Filed under: uncultured bacterium
Lineage: Bacteria
Description: bacterial SSU rRNA
Rfam family: Bacterial small subunit ribosomal RNA
Source: RNAcentral